GAAUUCACUAGUGAUUAGUGUUAGAUCAUGGCUCAGAACGAACGCUAUCGUAUGCUUAACACAGCAAGUCGAACGGAUUUAUUUAGAGCUGGCUUUAAAUAAAUUAGUGGCAGAGAGUAACACGUGGGAAUCUGCCCAUCAGUACGGAAUAACAUUUAGAAAUAAUUGCUAAUACCGUAUAUUCUCUUUGGAGGAAAGAUUUAUCGCUGAUGGAUGAGCCCGCGCCAGAUUAGGUAGUUGGUAGGGUAAUGGCCUACCAAGCCAAUGAUCUGUAGCUGGUUUGAGAGAAUGAUCAGCCACACUGGGACUGAGACACGGCCCAGACUCCUACGGGAGGCAGCAGUGGGGAAUAUUGGACAAUGGGCGAAAGCCUGAUCCAGCAAUACCGAGUGGGUGUGAAGGCCAUAGGGUUGAAGCCCUUUCAGCAGGGAAGAUAAUAGCGGUACCUGACCAAGCCCCGGCUAACCCGUGAGCAGCCGCUAAUCGAAUUCCCGCGGCC
RNAcentral lists this ribosomal RNA (499 nucleotides) under uncultured Alphaproteobacteria bacterium. Its description in RNAcentral is "partial 16S ribosomal RNA". It matches the Rfam family "Bacterial small subunit ribosomal RNA", at positions 1 to 525 of the family's 1533-position model. Lineage: Bacteria; Pseudomonadati; Pseudomonadota; Alphaproteobacteria. The record is from RNAcentral.